Melozone crissalis (California towhee) is the source of this 489-nucleotide long non-coding RNA. RefSeq lists it as uncharacterized. The transcript has 2 exons. The record is from RefSeq and is a predicted model, not a curated record. Lineage: Eukaryota; Metazoa; Chordata; Aves; Passeriformes; Passerellidae.
CAGCCCCAGAUGGUGACACAGGUGGGACUGGGUGCUGCCAUUGCUGAGGUGAGGGAGCAGCAGGUGGCUGGAGCAGGAGGUGAUUCUGCAGGAUAGUGAGAGCUGCUCUUGCAGUUUGGUAAUUCCUGUGUGGUCUUGUUGGGUUAUCACAGAAUCAUGGAAGGGUUUGGGCUGAAAGGGAAAAUAGAGACCCUCUCCUUCCAGCCCCUGCCAUGGACAGGGACACCUUCCACUAUCCCAGGUUGCUCCAAGCCCCAUCCAGCCUGGCCUUGAAUACAUCCACAGCUUCUCUGGGCACCCUGUGCCAGGGCCUCCCCAGUCUCCCUAAUACCCCAUCCAACCUUUGUCUGUGCCUGUUGAAACCAUUCCUCCUUAUCCUGGCACUCCAUGCUCUUGUAAAAACUCCCUCUCCAGCUUUCCUGUGGGUUAUAGAAAGCAGCUGUGCCUAAUGGAUGGUGAACAUGAAUAAAAUCUGUUUUUCAAAGCUGA